GUCGAGCGGUAGAGAGAAGCUUGCUUCUCUUGAGAGCGGCGGACGGGUGAGUAAUGCCUAGGAAUCUGCCUGGUAGUGGGGGAUAACGCUCGGAAACGGACGCUAAUACCGCAUACGUCCUACGGGAGAAAGCAGGGGACCUUCGGGCCUUGCGCUAUCAGAUGAGCCUAGGUCGGAUUAGCUAGUUGGUGAGGUAAUGGCUCACCAAGGCGACGAUCCGUAACUGGUCUGAGAGGAUGAUCAGUCACACUGGAACUGAGACACGGUCCAGACUCCUACGGGAGGCAGCAGUGGGGAAUAUUGGACAAUGGGCGAAAGCCUGAUCCAGCCAUGCCGCGUGUGUGAAGAAGGUCUUCGGAUUGUAAAGCACUUUAAGUUGGGAGGAAGGGCAUUAACCUAAUACGUUGGUGUCUUGACGUUACCGACAGAAUAAGCACCGGCUAACUCUGUGCCAGCAGCCGCGGUAAUACAGAGGGUGCAAGCGUUAAUCGGAAUUACUGGGCGUAAAGCGCGCGUAGGUGGUUUGUUAAGUUGGAUGUGAAAUCCCCGGGCUCAACCUGGGAACUGCAUUCAA
This 574-nucleotide ribosomal RNA is filed under the name Pseudomonas sp. RNAcentral describes it as "bacterial SSU rRNA". It matches the Rfam family "Bacterial small subunit ribosomal RNA", at positions 61 to 630 of the family's 1533-position model. Lineage: Bacteria; Pseudomonadati; Pseudomonadota; Gammaproteobacteria; Pseudomonadales; Pseudomonadaceae. The record is from RNAcentral.